RNAcentral lists this ribosomal RNA (299 nucleotides) under fungal sp. RNAcentral's name for it is "partial 18S ribosomal RNA". It matches the Rfam family "Eukaryotic small subunit ribosomal RNA", at positions 548 to 853 of the family's 1831-position model. The record is from RNAcentral. Lineage: Eukaryota; Fungi.
UUGGAGGGCAAGUCUGGUGCCAGCAGCCGCGGUAAUUCCAGCUCCAAUAGCGUAUAUUAAAGUUGUUGCAGUUAAAAAGCUCGUAGUUGAACCUUGGGUCUGGCUGGCCGGUCCGCCUCACGGCGUGCACUGGUCCGGCUGGACCUUUCCUUCUGGGGAAUCCCAUGGCCUUCACUGGCUGUGGGGGGAACCAGGACUUUUACUGUGAAAAAAUUAGAGUGUUCAAAGCAGGCCUUUGCUCGGAUACAUUAGCAUGGAAUAAUAGACUAGGACGUGCGGUUCUAUUUUGUUGGUUUCUA